This 460-nucleotide ribosomal RNA is filed under the name uncultured bacterium. Its description in RNAcentral is "partial 16S ribosomal RNA". It matches the Rfam family "Bacterial small subunit ribosomal RNA", at positions 338 to 795 of the family's 1533-position model. The record is from RNAcentral.
CCUACGGGUGGCAGCAGUGAGGAAUAUUGGUCAAUGGGCGCAAGCCUGAACCAGCCAAGUCGCGUGAGGGAGGACGGCCCUAUGGGUUGUAAACCUCUUUUGCCGGGGAGCAAGGCGCGGCACGUGUGGCGGGACGGAGAGUACCCGGAGAAAAAGCAACGGCUAACUCCGUGCCAGCAGCCGCGGUAAUACGGAGGAUGCGAGCGUGAGCGGGAUUUAUUGGGUUGAAAGGGUGCGUAGGCGGAUGGUUAAGUCAGGGGUCAAAUGUCGGGGCUCACCCCCGGCCCGCCGUUGAAACUGGCGUUCUUGAGUGGACGAGAAGUAUGCGGAAUGCGUGGUGUAGCGGUGACAUGCAUAGAUAUCACGCAGAACCCCGAUUGCGAAGGCAGCAUGCCGGCUUUCGCCUGACGCUGAGGCACGAAAGCGUGGGGAUCGAACAGGAUUAGAUACCCCAGUAGUC